UGUUUUGUUUCUAUCAAAAUGCUUAGUAUUAUAUCGAGGUUCUUACGAAUCGGGUGUUUAGAUCCAAAAGAGAAGUGAAGGAAUACUUACUAACAGGAUCAUGCCCGAAAAGGCAAAAGGGUAAAGUCUGCGCCAUGAGAGGGCAAAUGUCAGUGGCAAAGGCACAAAAAUGCCAGGAUUCAAAUGAAAGGCCAAAGGCAAUAUCCAAUAAAAGGGCAAAAGCAGAUCAUGCGUUUUCUGGUCAAGCUUGUUUCAUGAGAGGGCAACUGCCGUUUGCAGAGGCACAACAUUACAUGGAAUCAGAGAAACUAUCCGUUACUGCCAUUGUACCUUGUCUUCCUCCGAAUCCCUAAGGAAUUAUGCAUCAUUUAGUCACCUUUACUUGCAUUUACUUCAAAUCUAAAGAUGUUAGAUAUGGUUUCUUAUAUCCAGUUGUCCACAU
Cryptomeria japonica (Japanese cedar) is the source of this 442-nucleotide long non-coding RNA. RefSeq lists it as uncharacterized. The record is from RefSeq and is a predicted model, not a curated record. Lineage: Eukaryota; Viridiplantae; Streptophyta; Pinopsida; Cupressales; Cupressaceae. The transcript has 3 exons.